RNAcentral lists this transfer RNA (70 nucleotides) under Bos taurus (domestic cattle). It matches the Rfam family "tRNA". From Rfam's summary of the family: Transfer RNA (tRNA) molecules are approximately 80 nucleotides in length. Their secondary structure includes four short double-helical elements and three loops (D, anti-codon, and T loops). The record is from Rfam by way of RNAcentral. Lineage: Eukaryota; Metazoa; Chordata; Mammalia; Artiodactyla; Bovidae. RNAcentral also lists the same sequence under 3 other names.
UCCUGGCAGCUCAGCAGGUAAAGAACUGCCUGCAAUGCAGGAGACCCUGGUUCAAUUCCUGGGUCAGGAA